GACGACGCUGGCGGCGCGCUUAACACAUGCAAGUCGUGCGGUGUCGAAGGCAAGUCUUACGACAAGCCUUCGACACAGCGGCGAACGGGUGAGUAACACGUGAGUAGCUGUCCUAAGGAGGGGGAUAACGCCUGGAAACGGGUGCUAAUACCCCAUAUGCCUCGCAAGAGGUGAAAGUGUACUUGUUACAGCCUUAGGGUGUGCUCGCGGCCUAUCAGCUAGUUGGUGAGGUAACGGCUCACCAAGGCUAAGACGGGUAGCCGGCCUGAGAGGGUGUACGGCCACACUGGAAUUGAGAUACGGUCCAGACUCCUACGGGAGGCAGCAGUGGGGAAUCUUGGGCAAUGGGCGAAAGCCUGACCCAGCGACGCCGCGUUGGGGAUGAAGCCCUUCGGGGCGUAAACCCAUGUUGUAGGGGACGAAGAAAGUGACGGUACCCUACGAGAAAGCCCCGGCCAACUACGUG
Molecule: ribosomal RNA, 466 nt
Filed under: uncultured bacterium
Lineage: Bacteria
Description: bacterial SSU rRNA
Rfam family: Bacterial small subunit ribosomal RNA
Source: RNAcentral